Molecule: unclassified non-coding RNA, 819 nt
Filed under: Hevea brasiliensis (rubber tree)
Lineage: Eukaryota; Viridiplantae; Streptophyta; Magnoliopsida; Malpighiales; Euphorbiaceae
Source: RNAcentral
AGAAGACUAAGUUACUCUUGAUGAUGAGUAUUUUCUUAUUAUUUUUUAAUGAAUUAUUGCUAUUUAGUAGGAAUUUAGCAAUAUGAUUUAAGAUUUUUAACAUCUCAUAGUUUUAUUCUGAUUUGGAUUUCAAACUAGAAUCCUAAAAAAUUUGUAUUAUAAAUAUGAGUUGGCUUAUAUAGGUUUAGUCAUCUAACUUUAUUUCUUUUGCACCUCAUGUCACUUAAGUGCGCACCUGUCCUUGCGCCUAGGCUUCAAUCCAGACCCUUUGCGCCUUAAUGCGCUUUUAAUGCCUAUGCUCUAUUUUGCCAACUCUUUUCUUUUCAAAUCUCAUAUUCACCAAAUUUAAAUGUCAAUUUCGCAUAAGGUGUCUACCUAAUUAAAUACUACAAAAUGCAAAGUUUUUCUGUUGCAGAUUUAGUGAUCUGUAUAGCUGUCUUGUGGCUUUCUCCUUCCCCAGUAUGAAUUUCUUAACAACAAAAAUAACUAAGCCUUAAUCCCAAUUCCCAAACUAGUCCGGGUAGGCUACAUGGAUCUUUUUUUGUUUCUUUGCUAGUCAACUCUGUAUGAGACCAAUUCUACAUCAAUGUUCAAAAAUUCUACAUGAAUUUCUUAAUGGUAAUAAAUUUUAAGGGCAAUCCUCAACUGAGAUUUAUAUGGAUUACAUGUUAUUGUUAACCACAUUGGUGGUGUUAUUCAUGAUUAGGUAAAUAUGCUGAUUUAUGAAAUUAAUGAUGAAGAAUCAUGGUUAUAUCUUUAGUUGCUAUAUUUAUUCAUCUGAAAUCUUGUGGAUCAGGAAACUAGCAACUCAACUAGUUG